Molecule: ribosomal RNA, 433 nt
Filed under: uncultured bacterium
Lineage: Bacteria
Description: partial 16S ribosomal RNA
Rfam family: Bacterial small subunit ribosomal RNA
Source: RNAcentral
GGUGAACGUUGGCGGUGCGUCUAAUACAUGCAAGUCGAGCGAGGCUUCGAGCCGAGCGGCAGACGGCUGAGUAACACGUUGGUAACUACCUCAAACUCAGGGAUAACUCCGAGAAAUCGGUGCUAAUACCGGAUGGUCCCGUAAGGGUAAAGUUUUUACGGUUUGAGAGGUGCCUGCGUCCUAUCAGGUAGUUGGUGAGGUAACGGCUCACCAAGCCUAUGACGGGUAACUGGUCUGAGAGGAUGACCAGUCAGAGGGAAACUGAGACACGGUUCCCACUUCUACGGAAGGCAGCAGUAAAGAAUCUUCCACAAUGGACGAAAGUCUGAUGGAGCGACACCGCGUGCAGGAUGAAGGCCCUUGGGUCGUAAACUGCUUUUUUGGGGGAAAAAUUCUGAUUGUACCCUAAGAAUAAGCACCGGCAAAUCACGUG